ACAUCCAGAGAACUUAGCAGAGAUGCUUUGGUGCCUUCGGGAACUCUGAGACAGGUGCUGCAUGGCUGUCGUCAGCUCGUGUUGUGAAAUGUUGGGUUAAGUCCCGNAACGAGUGCAACCCUUAUCCUUUGUUGCCAGCGGCUCGGCCGGGAACUCAAAGGAGACUGCCGGUGAUAAACCGGAGGAAGGUGGGGAUGACGUCAAGUCAUCAUGGCCCUUACGGCCAGGGCUACACACGUGCUACAAUGGCGCAUACAAAGAGAAGCGACCUCGCGAGAGCAAGCGGACCUCAUAAAGUGCGUCGUAGUCCGGAUUGGAGUCUGCAACUCGACUCCAUGAAGUCGGAAUCGCUAGUAAUCGUAGAUCAGAAUGCUACGGUGAAUACGUUCCCGGGCCUUGUACACACCGCCCGUCACACCAUGGGAGUGGGUUGCAAAAGAAGUAGGUAGCUUAACCUUCGGGAGGGCGCUUACCACUUUGUGAUUCAUGACUGGGGUGAAGUCGUAACAAGGUAGGCGUACGUGU
This 525-nucleotide ribosomal RNA is filed under the name uncultured bacterium. Its description in RNAcentral is "bacterial SSU rRNA". It matches the Rfam family "Bacterial small subunit ribosomal RNA", at positions 984 to 1509 of the family's 1533-position model. The record is from RNAcentral.